RNAcentral lists this ribosomal RNA (384 nucleotides) under Globigerina bulloides. RNAcentral describes it as "bacterial SSU rRNA". It matches the Rfam family "Eukaryotic small subunit ribosomal RNA", at positions 1228 to 1460 of the family's 1831-position model. Lineage: Eukaryota; Foraminifera; Rotaliida; Globigerinidae. The record is from RNAcentral.
GGAGUGGUUCUUGGUAAACAAUUGAGAGAGUUGAAGUUCUUUCAUGAUCUUGUGAGAGGUGGUGCAUGGCCGUUCUUAGUUCGUGUAGUGAUAUGUCUGCCUAAUCGCGUCACGAUAACCUAUUGGUCGACAACCCAAUUAUCACAACUGCAGCAUAACUCCCCUUGGGUGGGCGAGGCUCUGUGUAGGAUAGACCUCUGAACAGUACGCAACGAACGCGAUCGUAAUCCCUUGUUGAGUGGCCAUCCUGUAAGCUGCUGGAUUAGGAACCCAGUGGUAUUAUCUCAGCCACAGAUUUUCUGGUUGUAAUGGGCCAGUUUUGAAACUCGGGGAACAUCUGUGACUUUCUUUCUUAACGCAGAGGAAGGUUAUGGCAAUAACAGG